GCAUCACCAUUCUUAGCAGUGCUCAGGAGGAUAACAGCAAACAAGACAGACAAACACUGCUGGGAAGCCAAUCGAACAUGCCGUCCCACACAGGGCAGCCCCCAUCCCCACCACACAUCAGGGAUAAUGGACAGAACCCGUCCGCCAGGGGUCCGUGGGACAGCUGACAACCUCAGAAGACACCCCCCCGCCGCGCGCGCGCCCCCUUCCAGUUUUUGGAAUACAGCACAGCCCACACUGAGGUCCCGGCAUGAUCCACCGGAGAGCUGCAUGUGCCUGUGAACACCUGUGUCCUCCUGCAGGUGUGGUACCUCACAUCUGGACAAGAGAGUGUCAACCACCGACCAUUUGUGAUGCUGUCACUGAGCCGGGAUGCAGGGGAGGAAGAGAAAGCUGGAGGGGUCCAUCAGAUCCCCAGGCUGUGGUCCCCCCAGUGAGACCCGGCCCCUCCUGACUCGGCCCAGCAGUGACAUGAAGAACCUCACGUGUGCCUUGUGACUCCUCCCCCUGGGCUCCCCGUCUCUUUACAUCGGUGCUUCUCUUGGUUGACGUUGGACUUCUGCAGUCCAGAGCUGGGAGAAAGGUUUGACCAGGUGCAGUGAAUAUUUGUCCCCUGGGACCUGAACCUGCACACAGGAGCCUGGCAGUGCCCACGUUCUGAAGCAGGUGUGGUGUCCUGCGUCACUGGACUCCAUCUGGGCAGACGUGAGGAGGGGGUGGCAGGUUAUCAGGGGCCGAGUGAACAAGAGAGUCGCAGGACCAAGUUAGCAAAGCAGCCUUCAGGCUCUGAUGCUGAUCAGAUGAUCAGAAGGUUCAGGAUCAGUGAGAACCUUGGGUGGGUUGAAGGGAUUAUGAAGCAUCCACAGCAGUGUCUACAGAGAAGGGGUUUGCCCUGUCCCCAGGCAGGGAGAGGAGCUGCUACCCCUUGAACGGCAGAUGCUCUCAUGGGUCCACAGGGUGGUGUUGUGUCAGGAAGAAACUGACAACUCUCCCCGCUCCCCUGCCCUGGCCGCCUUGCUUAGGAGUCUCUGGGUUGAUAGGAAAGGCAAACCUGAAUUCUUUGCCUCUCGGCAUCCAGGGAACAGGUCGGUGCCACGUCUCCAUCAUCUGUGCCAUCUGUAGCCACAAAGCCAGCACACAGCCUCGCAGUGACGCCAAGCAGCCUGGCCAGUUGCCCUGGUGCAAAUCACACAGGUGAUUAACCAGUCUCUGUUCCCACUUCUAGAAAGUCCAGAUAAUAUGGCAUGGGAUUACCAGAGGGUUAAAGAAGAUAACAACACAGGGCACCUGACACAGGAAGUGUUCCUGGUCCCUCCACAUGCCACCCAAGUGGAGUCCUGUUGACCCCAGAACACAACAAAGGCCGAAGGACUUUCAGUAGAUCAAACAAGUCGGCCGCAGUGAAGCUUCGGUUUCUAAACCUCUUAACAGGAAGCCCAAGCUGAGAGGACGUUUGAAUUGGCUCAUGCAAAAAACAAUAUUUGCUCGAGGCUAGCUCCUGCAUUAUGAAUUUUUAACCUCCCAUAAAUCAAACUGUAAAAAUGGACAAAGGCGAAUUUCCUGUGCCAGGACCAAAAUAGAAGCUGCCUCUGUCUCUUAAACAAUUCUGAUUAUGUUUCCAUAACCAAAUCAUACUGAGAUGAAUAGCUGGAAUAUUUAUAUUUAGGUCCUAAAGUAUUUCGUAAAAUAAAUGGAAAUGGUCUAUCUUUUCA
This 1712-nucleotide long non-coding RNA is filed under the name Sus scrofa (pig). RNAcentral describes it as "lncRNA (ENSSSCG00040069302.1)". The record is from RNAcentral. Lineage: Eukaryota; Metazoa; Chordata; Mammalia; Artiodactyla; Suidae.